UCAGCGCAAAGUGCUCUGGCGCUGUCUUCGAGAGAUCUGGCAUCAAAGGAAGACUCUGCCAAGGAGGCUCGGCACCAAUCCCAAUCGCCAGCGCAGAAGAAGACAGGAAGAGGCCGAUUUCUCUCAGCAAGAUCCAGGAACUAGCCAUCAGUGGCACCUCAGUCAGGCCAUGACUCUGAGGCUCAGAGUGGGGCUAUGUCGUCUGCUGACCAAGUGAGGCAGACAAGUCCGGGCCUGUCGUGCUUGCCGAAGCCCUCUUGUCCUCCCAAUCGAGCCCUGGCUGGAGGGCCGAAUUACGGGAAGAGCAACCACCACAGUGACAGAGUGACCAUCAGCAAGGGGCACUAGACUGAAAGACAGCUGCUACUCCAUGCCUGGCCCUGAGGAAGUACUCCAUCAAUCCGCUAGCUACCCCUCAAAGCUCUCACUGUCACUCGGAGAGGUAGGAGGGAGAGCACUGUCAGCACUGAGCAACAGAGAUCGUCAAAAGGAAAGUAACAUGGAAAUAAAAUACACUUGAAAAGAGACUCACGUUGGUUAAGCAGAG
Long non-coding RNA from Mauremys reevesii (Reeves's turtle), 547 nucleotides. RefSeq lists it as uncharacterized. Lineage: Eukaryota; Metazoa; Chordata; Testudines; Geoemydidae. The record is from RefSeq and is a predicted model, not a curated record. The transcript has 3 exons.